GACGAACGCUGGCGGCGUGCUUAACACAUGCCAGUCGAACGGUGAACUCCGCUUGCGGGGGGAUCAGUGGCGAACGGGUGAGUAACACGUGGGCAACCUGCCCUCAGCUCUGGGAUAACUCCAAGAAAUUGGGGCUAAUACCGGAUAUGACCGCUGACCGCAUGGUCUGGUGGUGGAAAGAUUUAUCGGCUGGGGAUGGGCCCGCGGCCUAUCAGCUUGUUGGUGGGGUAGUGGCCUACCAAGGCGACGACGGGUAGCCGGCCUGAGAGGGUGACCGGCCACACUGGGACUGAGACACGGCCCAGACUCCUACGGGAGGCAGCAGUGGGGAAUAUUGCGCAAUGGGCGAAAGCCUGACGCAGCGACGCCGCGUGGGGGAUGACGGCCUUCGGGUUGUAGACCUCUUUCAGCAGGGACGAAGCGAAAGUGACGGUACCUGCAGAGGAAGCACCGGCCAACUACGUG
This 465-nucleotide ribosomal RNA is filed under the name uncultured bacterium. Its description in RNAcentral is "partial 16S ribosomal RNA". It matches the Rfam family "Bacterial small subunit ribosomal RNA", at positions 28 to 507 of the family's 1533-position model. The record is from RNAcentral.